AACGAACGCUAGCGGGAUGCCUCAAACAUGCAAGUCGUACGCGAAAGUCCCUUCGGGGGCGAGUAGAGUGGCGCACGGGUGCGUAACACGUAGCUAACGUACCCCUUCGCUGGGGAUAACCUCGGGAAACCGAGGCUAAUACCGAAUGAACUGAUCUAGCCUGCGGGCCGGAUCGGUAAAGCCUUCGGGCGCGAAGGGAUCGGGCUGCGGCUCAUUAGUUUGAUGGUGGGGUAACGGCUUACCAUGACUACGAUGAGUAGCUGGUCUGAGAGGAUGAUCAGCCACACUGGAACUGAAACACGGUCCAGACUCCCACGGGAGGCAGCAGUUGGGAAUAUUGGACAAUGGGGGAAACCCUGAUCCAGCAAUCCCGCGUGAGUGAUGAAGGCUUUCGAGUCGUAAAGCUCUUUCAGUAGGGAAGAAAGGAACUUGACGGUACAAAAGAAGCACCGG
Molecule: ribosomal RNA, 453 nt
Filed under: uncultured bacterium
Lineage: Bacteria
Description: bacterial SSU rRNA
Rfam family: Bacterial small subunit ribosomal RNA
Source: RNAcentral